AGAGUUUGAUCCUGGCUCAGAGCGAACGCUGGCGGCAGGCUUAACACAUGCAAGUCGAGCGGGCCCUUCGGGGUCAGCGGCAGACGGGUGAGUAACGCGUGGGAACGUGCCCUUUGGUUCGGAACAACUCCGGGAAACUGGAGCUAAUACCGGAUAAGCCCUUCGGGGGAAAGAUUUAUUGCCAAAGGAUCGGCCCGCGUCUGAUUAGCUAGUUGGUGAGGUAAUGGCUCACCAAGGCGACGAUCAGUAGCUGGUCUGAGAGGAUGAUCAGCCACACUGGGACUGAGACACGGCCCAAACUCCUACGGGAGGCAGCAGUGGGGAAUAUUGGACAAUGGGCGCAAGCCUGAUCCAGCCAUGCCGCGUGAGUGAUGAAGGCCUUAGGGUUGUAAGGCUCUUUCGUCCGGGACGAUAAUGACGGUACCGGAAGAAGAAGCCCCGGCUAACUUCGUGCCAGCAGCCGCGGUAAUACGAAGGGGGCUAGCGUUGUUCGGAAUCACUGGGCGUAAAGGGCGCGUAGGCGGCCUGAUAAGUCGGGGGUGAAAGCCUGUGGCUCAACCACAGAAUUGCCUUCGAUACUGUCGGGCUUGAGACCGGAAGAGGUAAGUGGAACUGCGAGUGUAGAGGUGAAAUUCGUAGAUAUUCGCAAGAACACCAGUGGCGAAGGCGGCUUACUGGUCCGGUUCUGACGCUGAGGCGCGAAAGCGUGGGGAGCAAACAGGAUUAGAUACCCUAGUAGUCC
RNAcentral lists this ribosomal RNA (742 nucleotides) under uncultured bacterium. RNAcentral describes it as "bacterial SSU rRNA". It matches the Rfam family "Bacterial small subunit ribosomal RNA", at positions 8 to 796 of the family's 1533-position model. The record is from RNAcentral.